Molecule: long non-coding RNA, 613 nt
Filed under: Cricetulus griseus (Chinese hamster)
Lineage: Eukaryota; Metazoa; Chordata; Mammalia; Rodentia; Cricetidae
Description: lncRNA (ENSCGRG00015040162.1)
Source: RNAcentral
CAGCAUUUGUCACACUGUUACUAGUGAGUAGUAGGCACUCAAUUAAACGAAUGAGUGGCUAUUCACCACCUGUCACUUCGUGCCCACUUAGUGCUGGGAGGAAGGAGUCAAUACCAAGGGCAGGGGCACCUGCCCUAUGGCUCAGUGUUUCUGGAAAGAUCAGGCUACUGCUGUCAUGUUCACCCCUGGCCUUCAGCUCUCAGCUGAAGAGGCACGUGGCCUGCUUCAACAAAAGCGUGGAAAACUUGACACUCAGGAGCGUUCAAAGCAACUUGUAACAAAUGGCAGUGAGGCGGAGCUCGUGGAGAGAGCUGUACAAAAAAAAAAUGUCUUGUGUGUAUGGCAAUGAGAGGAGGCAAAGUUGACCUCAGUACAUUAGUAGAAAGGACAAAGUGCUCUGGGACCGGCAACAGCCUGAGCAGGGUCGAGACAAAGAGCAGACAGAACUGCUGACAGCUGGCCGAGAAGUGUUAGAGUGGGUGUGCCACCAGCCCUGCCGGGGCAAGAACCCUGGCAGAAGCACCAAUGGGCAGGCGCUGGCAUCAGCAGCAGACAGAGAAAGGAGUGCUUUAAUGAAGAAAACCAUCACUGGGGCUGGAGAGAUGGUUCAAUG